This 426-nucleotide ribosomal RNA is filed under the name uncultured bacterium. Its description in RNAcentral is "partial 16S ribosomal RNA". It matches the Rfam family "Bacterial small subunit ribosomal RNA", at positions 355 to 774 of the family's 1533-position model. The record is from RNAcentral.
UGGGGAAUAUUGGACAAUGGGCGAAAGCCUGAUCCAGCCAUGCCGCGUGUGUGAAGAAGGUCUUCGGAUUGUAAAGCACUUUAAGUUGGGAGGAAGGGCAGUAAGUUAAUACCUUGCUGUUUUGACGUACCGACAGAAUAAGCACCGGCUAACUCUGUGCCAGCAGCCGCGGUAAUACAGAGGGUGCAAGCGUUAAUCGGAAUUACUGGGCGUAAAGCGCGCGUAGGUGGUUUGUUAAGUUGGAUGUGAAAGCCCCGGGCUCAACCUGGGAACUGCAUCCAAAACUGGCAAGCUAGAGUACGGUAGAGGGUGGUGGAAUUUCCUGUGUAGCGGUGAAAUGCGUAGAUAUAGGAAGGAACACCAGUGGCGAAGGCGACCACCUGGACUGAUACUGACACUGAGGUGCGAAAGCGUGGGGAGCAAACA